RNAcentral lists this unclassified non-coding RNA (329 nucleotides) under soil metagenome. Its description in RNAcentral is "partial contains 5.8S ribosomal RNA, internal transcribed spacer 2, and large subunit ribosomal RNA". The stretch from base 1 to 120 matches the Rfam family "5.8S ribosomal RNA", at positions 35 to 154 of the family's 154-position model. The record is from RNAcentral.
GAUGAAGAACGUAGCGAAAUGCGAUAAGUAAUGUGAAUUGCAGAAUUCAGUGAAUCAUCGAAUCUUUGAACGCAUAUUGCGCCCUCUGGUAUUCCGGGGGGCAUGCCUGUUCGAGCGUCAUUAUAACCACUCAAGCUCUCGCUUGGUAUUGGGGUUCGCGGUUCCGCGGCCCCUAAAAUCAGUGGCGGUGCCUGUCGGCUCUACGCGUAGUAAUACUCCUCGCGUCUGGGUCCGGUAGGUCUACUUGCCAGCAACCCCCAAUUUUUACAGGUUGACCUCGGAUCAGGUAGGGAUACCCGCUGAACUUAAGCAUAUCAAUAAGCGGAGGA